Molecule: long non-coding RNA, 871 nt
Organism: Triplophysa rosa
Lineage: Eukaryota; Metazoa; Chordata; Actinopteri; Cypriniformes; Nemacheilidae
Exons: 4
Source: RefSeq, a predicted model, not a curated record
UUACAAAGUUAGUCCUUUUGGCCUCGUCUGUGCUGUUGCUGACACCACACAGUUCAAGACGGAAUAUGUGCUAUGUUCGGUAACAUGAGACAAGGACAUGUGGAAAUUCAGCCCAACCAACCGAUGUCCGAACCCUUGUUCUUUGACGACCGCCUAUCAUGCUCGGAGAUGAUGACUCUUCUUUCUUCAAGUCAUGUUAAGUGUCUGAUCAUCGCAACACAAUCCUUGAUGUACCAGAGCUGAUCUUAUUCGAGGACACUGAUCUUCAGCCACCCAACUCCUUGCAUUUGACUUCUUCUAUUCUUCGAAGACAAUGUUCAGUGACAAUGUGCAAUGUUUGCACAAAGCUUAAAUGGUGAAAUGUAGUUUUUAUUAUGUUUAGCCUACAUGUUCAGUACAUUAACAAUUGUGAGGCGUAAAAAGUGUAAUUGGUGCAGAGUUGUACAAUUGAUGUAAGUCCACCAGUUAAUGUUGGACAUUUUUACUGUUGUUAUACCACCUUAUUAUAUUAAUAUUUCACCUUAAUAUUUCCACAGUAUAUUUGUACUGUAACACUGUGUAAUUUUGGUGAAAGACUAAUGUAAUAAAGUAAUUAUAAAGUAAUUAUUAUAUGUAUUUAUAUAUGUAAUUAUUUUAGUUUGCAAUGUUUGCACAGCUUAAACGGUCAAAUGUAAUAGUUAUGUUUACAUUAACAUAAUUGUGAUACUUGAGUGAAGUAUACUGUAAAUGUGCAUAGAGUUGUACAAUUGAUGUACUGCAGUUAAUUUGGUUGUUACCACCUUUACAGUGUGGCGGUGACCCAUUCCCAUUACAGUAUAGUGUUUUACUGUAUUUUCAUUAACAUUGUGACAUUUCGUCAAUAAAAAUUCAA